AGCGACCGCUUUUGGAGUUCGAUUAAGCCAUGCGAGUCGAGAGCCUUAGGGGCUCGGCAUACUGCUCAGUAACACGUGGAUAACCUGCCCUAUUGUCUGGAAUAACCUCGGGAAACUGAGAACAAGGCCGGAUAGCCCACAAUGCCUGGAACGGUUUGUGGGUGAAGAUAGGAUGGGUCUGCGGCGUAUCAGGUCGUAGGGGGUGUAAUGGACCUCCUAGCCAUCGACGCGUACGGGUGUUGGGAGACAUAGCCCGGAGAUGGAUUCUGAGACACGAAUCCAGACCCUACGGGGUGCAGCAGGCGCGAAAACUUCACACUGCAGGAAACUGUGAUGAGGGAACUCCAAGUGCUAUCACUAUGUGGUAGCUUUUCUUGACUAUUAAUCGGUCAUGGAAUAAGGGCUGGGAAAGACCGGUGCCAGCCGCCGCGGUAAUACCGGCAGCUCAAGUGGUCGUCGCUUUUAUUGGGCCUAAAACGUCCGUAGCCUGUUUGGUAAAUCUGUGGGUAAAUCAACCAGCUUAACUGGUUGAAUUCUGCAGAGACUGCCAGACUAGGGACCGGGAGAGGUGUGGGGUACUCUAGGGGUAGGGGUAAAAUCCUGUCAUCCUUAGAGGACCACCAGUUGCGAAGGCGCCACACUGGAACGGAUCCGACGGUCAGGGACGAAGCCUAGGGGCACGAACCGGAUUAGAUACCCGGGUAGUCCUAGGUGUAAACGCUGUGAACUUGGUGUCGGGGAUCCGUAAUGGGUCCUCGGUGCCGGAGUGAAGAUGUUAAGUUCACUGCCUGGGGAGUACGGUCGCAAGGCUGAAACUUAAAGGAAUUGGCGGGGGAGCACUGCAACGGGAGGAGCGUGCGGUUU
This 864-nucleotide ribosomal RNA is filed under the name uncultured archaeon. Its description in RNAcentral is "bacterial SSU rRNA". It matches the Rfam family "Archaeal small subunit ribosomal RNA", at positions 21 to 903 of the family's 1478-position model. The record is from RNAcentral.